CUACGGGCGGCACCAGUGGGGAAUAUUGGACAAUGGGGGAAACCCUGAUCCAGCAAUGCCGCGUGUGUGAAGAAGGCAUGCGGGUUGUAAAGCACUUUCGGUUGGGAGGACUGCUUCUAGCACUAAUAUUGUUGGAAGUUGACGUUACCUUCAGAAGAAGCACCGGCUAACUCCGUGCCAGCAGCCGCGGUAAUACGGAGGGUGCAAGCGGUAAUCGGAAUUACUGGGCGUAAAGCGCGCGUAGGCGGCUAGAUCAGUCGGGUGUGAAAGCCCCGGGCUUAACCUGGGAACUGCAUCCGAUACUGUCUAGCUUGAGUACAGGAGAGGAGAGUGGAAUUCCACAUGUAGCGGUGAAAUGCGUAGAUAUGUGGAGGAACACCAAUGGCGAAGGCAGCUCUCUGGCCUGAUACUGACGCUGAGGUGCGAAAGCGUGGGGAGCAAACAGGAUUAGAUACCCGGGUAGUC
RNAcentral lists this ribosomal RNA (465 nucleotides) under uncultured bacterium. RNAcentral describes it as "partial 16S ribosomal RNA". It matches the Rfam family "Bacterial small subunit ribosomal RNA", at positions 339 to 795 of the family's 1533-position model. The record is from RNAcentral.